GAUUAGUCAAACAUGGGAGAAAGGAUCUCAACUGAGUGUUCACGGUCAAUUACAGAUCGAACUCCUUGUUCUACUCUUGCCCCCCUUCUCACCACUGCGCUUGACGAGCCUAAA
Molecule: small RNA, 114 nt
Filed under: Cebus imitator (Panamanian white-faced capuchin)
Lineage: Eukaryota; Metazoa; Chordata; Mammalia; Primates; Cebidae
Description: Y RNA (ENSCCAG00000001047.1)
Source: RNAcentral